This 514-nucleotide ribosomal RNA is filed under the name uncultured bacterium. Its description in RNAcentral is "bacterial SSU rRNA". It matches the Rfam family "Bacterial small subunit ribosomal RNA", at positions 126 to 674 of the family's 1533-position model. The record is from RNAcentral.
CUACCCUGAACUGCGGAAUAGCUCCGGGAAACUGGAAUUAAUACCGCAUGUGCCCUGAGGGGCAAAGAUUUAUCGGUUCAGGAUGAGCCCGCGUCGGAUUAGCUAGUUGGUGGGGUAAUGGCCUACCAAGGCGACGAUCCGUAGCUGGUCUAAGAGGAUGAUCAGCCACAUUGGGACUGAGACACGGCCCAAACUCCUACGGGAGGCAGCAGUGGGGAAUAUUGGACAAUGGGCGCAAGCCUGAUCCAGCCAUGCCGCGUGAGUGAUGAAGGCCCUAGGGUUGUAAAGCUCUUUCAGUGGGGACGAUAAUGACGGUACCCACAGAAGAAGCCCCGGCUAACUUCGUGCCAGCAGCCGCGGUAAUACGAAGGGGGCUAGCGUUGUUCGGAAUUACUGGGCGUAAAGCGCACGUAGGCGGAUAUUUAAGUCAGGGGUGAAAUCCCGGGGCUCAACCCCGGAACUGCCUUUGAUACUGGAUGUCUUGAGUCCGGAAGAGGUGAGUGGAAUUGCGAGU